UGAAGAGAAUGGGAAAAGAAACAUUGAAGCCAAAAGGAAGCCGAGAGAUUGAGCCCAAAGCAAACUGAAGAAAAUGGAGAACCUCUGCUGGAUGCUGAAAUGAUUUGAGAAAUGGAUAAUAGCCCUCCAUCCAAACAAUGACUGUCAUCAGUGCAGCACAGAAUCGGAACCUAACACUUUGGUUGUGACCAUCUACUUUGUCCUCGCAAACCAAUGGAAGGUAAGUCUAAUGUCAUCUGCAAUUUUCUUCUGUAAGUAGUUGCCAGAAACCAUCCCUAGGAAUCCAGAGGUAGUCACUUAAUCUACCGUGUGUGUGUGUGU
This is a non-coding RNA of Zootoca vivipara (common lizard), 321 nucleotides long. NCBI's taxonomy places the organism in Eukaryota, Metazoa, Chordata, Lepidosauria, Squamata, Lacertidae. The record is from RefSeq and is a predicted model, not a curated record.